UGAACGCUGGCGGCGUGCCUAAUACAUGCAAGUCGAGCGAACGGACGAGAAGCUUGCUUUUCUGAUGUUAGCGGCGGACGGGUGAGUAACACGUGGAUAACCUACCUAUAAGACUGGGAUAACUUCGGGAAACCGGAGCUAAUACCGGAUAAUAUUUUGAACCGCAUGGUUCAAAAGUGAAAGACGGUCUUGCUGUCACUUAUAGAUGGAUCCGCGCUGCAUUAGCUAGUUGGUAAGGUAACGGCUUACCAAGGCAACGAUGCAUAGCCGACCUGAGAGGGUGAUCGGCCACACUGGAACUGAGACACGGUCCAGACUCCUACGGGAGGCAGCAGUAGGGAAUCUUCCGCAAUGGGCGAAAGCCUGACGGAGCAACGCCGCGUGAGUGAUGAAGGUCUUCGGAUCGUAAAACUCUGUUAUUAGGGAAGAACAUAUGUGUAAGUAACUGUGCACAUCUUGACGGUACCUAAUCAGAAAGCCACGGCUAACUACGU
This 494-nucleotide ribosomal RNA is filed under the name uncultured bacterium. Its description in RNAcentral is "partial 16S ribosomal RNA". It matches the Rfam family "Bacterial small subunit ribosomal RNA", at positions 30 to 506 of the family's 1533-position model. The record is from RNAcentral.